Molecule: long non-coding RNA, 598 nt
Organism: Zea mays
Lineage: Eukaryota; Viridiplantae; Streptophyta; Magnoliopsida; Poales; Poaceae
Source: RefSeq, marked validated
CACACCACCCCACCGGUCGGUCAUCGGCCAUCGCCUUCGCGUUCGCUUUAUCGGCUCUGGCAUCUUCUCGCCCAGCUCUUCCGCCAGCUCCAUCGCAGUCCCCAUUACUGCACUGCGCUCUGUCGCCUCCUCUCUUCCCCACCUCGCUGCUCCGAUCCAGCAAGAGCUCCAUCCGCGCGCAGGGAGGUCGUCAGAUGGAGUUCGUGCUCAUCAUCUCGCUGCCGCUGCUCAUACUCAUCAUCAUCGUCGCCGUCGUCCUCUGCAUCAUCUGCCGCUAGGCUCGCUGAACGUCCACAGAGAAGAAGAAGAAGGUUCAGCCCCGUCCGUCUCUGCAGUCUGCACUCUGCUAGCUGUGAUCCUACCAUACCAUGUGUUAGUGCUGAUUUGACAUUGUACGUACAGCAUGACCUGAUAAACCCUCCUCUCUCUCUCUCUCUCUCUCUCUCUCUCUCUCUCUCUCUCUCUCUCUCUCUCUCUCUCUCUCUCUUGUCUGCAUUGCCGUACGUGAGAUUAAUCCGCUGUAGCUCUCUAUACGUUGUUUCUUUUCUUCAUCUCUCUUUUCCUAAAAGAAAAAAAAAAAGAAACGGCCGUUUGUGCA